AUCGCUUCUCGGCCUUUUGGCUAAGAUCAAGUGUAAAAAAAAAUAAUAAUAAGUAUUUUAUGAAUAAGCAUGGUGGCACUUGCCCUUAAUCCUGGCACAGAUCACUGUGAGUUUGAGGCCAGCCUGGUCUACAUUCA
This is a small nuclear RNA of Rattus norvegicus (Norway rat), 137 nucleotides long. Ensembl annotates it as U2 spliceosomal RNA. The record is from Ensembl. Lineage: Eukaryota; Metazoa; Chordata; Mammalia; Rodentia; Muridae.